Molecule: long non-coding RNA, 1145 nt
Organism: Ictalurus punctatus (channel catfish)
Lineage: Eukaryota; Metazoa; Chordata; Actinopteri; Siluriformes; Ictaluridae
Source: Ensembl
GUAUGUGUUACUCACCAAAGUUUUGUCCGCAUCUCCCUGUGUGUCAGUUCCAGGUUCCAUGAUGCUUCUGUUACUGCAGCUCAGACCUCAACAUGUCUAAAAAACACACACAUACACACAUUCAGAGCUGUGUCAGUCUAAAAAAAAAACACUCCUAAAAUAACUAAUUCAGGUCAUCUGCUUUCUGACCUACUUCCUGUUUUACAGAACAAACUUCCUAAAAUCGGCUGAAGUGAGAUUAAUGCAAUGCACUAAUCUGUUACACAGGGAACCUCAACUGUUAAACACCACAACAUUACAACACAACGUUACACCACAACAUUACAACACAACGUUACACCACAACAUUACAACACAUCAUUACACCACAACAUUACAACACAUCAUUACACCACAACAUUACAACACAACAUUACAACACAAUGUUACAACACAAUGUUACACCACAACAUUACACCACAACAUUACAACACAACAUUACAACACAAUGUUACAACACAACGUUACACCACAACAUAACAACACAUCAUUACACCACAACAUUACAACACAACAUUACAACACAAUGUUACAACACAACGUUACACCACAACAUAACACAACAUUACAACACAACAUUACAACACAUCAUUACACCACAACAUUACAACACAUCAUUACACCACAACAUUACAACACAACAUUACAACACAAUGUUACAACACAACGUUACACCACAACAGUACAACACAACAUUACAACACAAUGUUACAACACCAGACUACAACAUUACAAUCGAAUGUUACACCACAACAAUACAACACAACAUUACAACACAAUGUUACAACGCCAUAUUACAACAACCUUACAACUCAGGAUGUCACGAGAACCGAUAGUUCGGUACUGCCACGUUUCGUGACGCAACGGAGAUAAGGUAGGAUGCAAGCACAGUGUGAACAGUUUUAUUGAGAGACACACAGGCAGGUAAAUCCAGAACGUGAUCCAAAAACGUAAUCCAGUAACAUGCAAGGUUCAGGCGAUCGGCAAACAGGCAUAAACGAGGCAAGGCAGGAAUCAACGUCGUGGUCACGGGAUACAGGGUCGAUAUACCAAACAUGAAACAGAAACAGCAGCGAGGGACUGGUAGCGGAGAAACCAGCGUGAAC